This 640-nucleotide ribosomal RNA is filed under the name Salmonella enterica. Its description in RNAcentral is "partial 23S ribosomal RNA". It matches the Rfam family "Bacterial large subunit ribosomal RNA", at positions 2261 to 2895 of the family's 2925-position model. RNAcentral also lists the same sequence under 1 other name. Lineage: Bacteria; Pseudomonadati; Pseudomonadota; Gammaproteobacteria; Enterobacterales; Enterobacteriaceae. The record is from RNAcentral.
GUGGGUAGUUUGACUGGGGCGGUCUCCUCCUAAAGAGUAACGGAGGAGCACGAAGGUUGGCUAAUCCUGGUCGGACAUCAGGAGGUUAGUGCAAUGGCAUAAGCCAGCUUGACUGCGAGCGUGACGGCGCGAGCAGGUGCGAAAGCAGGUCAUAGUGAUCCGGUGGUUCUGAAUGGAAGGGCCAUCGCUCAACGGAUAAAAGGUACUCCGGGGAUAACAGGCUGAUACCGCCCAAGAGUUCAUAUCGACGGCGGUGUUUGGCACCUCGAUGUCGGCUCAUCACAUCCUGGGGCUGAAGUAGGUCCCAAGGGUAUGGCUGUUCGCCAUUUAAAGUGGUACGCGAGCUGGGUUUAGAACGUCGUGAGACAGUUCGGUCCCUAUCUGCCGUGGGCGCUGGAGAACUGAGGGGGGCUGCUCCUAGUACGAGAGGACCGGAGUGGACGCAUCACUGGUGUUCGGGUUGUCAUGCCAAUGGCACUGCCCGGUAGCUAAAUGCGGAAGAGAUAAGUGCUGAAAGCAUCUAAGCACGAAACUUGCCCCGAGAUGAGUUCUCCCUGAGACUUAAAGUCUCCUGAAGGAACGUUGAAGACGACGACGUUGAUAGGCCGGGUGUGUAAGCGCAGCGAUGCGUUGAGCUAAC